Molecule: long non-coding RNA, 747 nt
Filed under: Hordeum vulgare
Lineage: Eukaryota; Viridiplantae; Streptophyta; Magnoliopsida; Poales; Poaceae
Description: long non-coding RNA (HVUL_LNC020648)
Source: RNAcentral
CGUGCGGGUGUGCCUUGGUGAUGGCCCUCGCCGUCUUUCCAUCACCACCACAGCAGUCUGUGAGAGACUCAAGCCCCUUGAAGAGGUCAUGGCACUCACGCAUGAUGGUGCCGAUACCCAGGUUGUCGUGGGCUUCCAGACCAUCUGUGACCAGCGCGUCGAGCUCUGGGUCCAAGGCCGCGGUGCUCUCGUCGAAGAGCGACGCGCUAUGCACGUCCUCGAACACCGAUGGCACCGGCCCGGUGACGUCCUUCUUGAACCACUCGGCCAUCCCCAGCGCGGCUUCCAUGUAGUGCGGCGACGUCCCGGCGAGCACGAAGGACGUCUGGCUGUGGUGUUCUUCCGCAUCGACACCAUCCACCAGGACACGGGAGAGUGGGUUGAGGCGGAAGAGCUCCGCCCCGGAGUUGUUGGUGCCGCCGGCGGCGAAGACGCCUGAGGUGACCAGCGCGCGCAUCAGGCGGCCGAGGAACGGCUGCUUGCUUGCCGGGAUGGACAGCACGGCCGCCAGGUCGGGCAGCGAGGUGACCCCGCCGAGGUUGUGCAUCGCCGUCGGGAUGCCGAGCUUGACGGCGCAGCGGAGCCCCAUGGACGUGAGGUAGUAGAGGGUGUGGCGCCACAGGUCGGCCUGAGCCUGCAGCAGCUCGGCAUCAGUGGGAACCUCGAUCGCCGGUACCUGGGCGGCCAUUGCUCUUUCCGUCUCGAUCACUGGCUGAUAUUUCUCUGCUCAGCUUGACCUAAUCUGAU